This 253-nucleotide ribosomal RNA is filed under the name uncultured bacterium. RNAcentral describes it as "partial 16S ribosomal RNA". It matches the Rfam family "Bacterial small subunit ribosomal RNA", at positions 524 to 776 of the family's 1533-position model. The record is from RNAcentral.
UACGUAGGGGGCAAGCGUUGUCCGGAUUUAUUGGGCGUAAAGAGCGUGUAGGCGGCCAUACAGGUCCGUUGUGAAAACUGGAGGCUUAACCUCCAGACGUCGAUGGAAACCGUAUGGCUAGAGUCCGGAAGAGGAGAGUGGAAUUCCUGGUGUAGCGGUGAAAUGCGCAGAUAUCAGGAAGAACACCCGUGGCGAAGGCGGCUCUCUGGGCCGAUACUGACGCUGAGGAGCGAAAGCGUGGGGAGCGAACAGG